UGAAAGAUGGACUGCUCAGUAUACUCACUUUAUUUGAUGUACAUUAUACAUAACUACGUUAAAGUGUAGCUAACAUAUGUACAGUAAGAGUGAGACCUAUCAGCUAGUUGUUAAGGUAAUGGCUUAACAAGGCAAUAACGGGUAACGGUAUUACUUUGUAAUAUUCCGGAGAAGGAGCCUGAGAGACGGCUACUAAGUCUAAGGAUUGCAGCAGGGGCGAAACUUGACCUAUGGAUAUUAUCUGAGGCAGUAAUGGGAA
This 259-nucleotide ribosomal RNA is filed under the name Vairimorpha apis. RNAcentral's name for it is "Nosema apis partial small subunit ribosomal RNA". It matches the Rfam family "Microsporidia small subunit ribosomal RNA", at positions 73 to 334 of the family's 1311-position model. Lineage: Eukaryota; Fungi; Microsporidia; Nosematidae. The record is from RNAcentral.